Molecule: ribosomal RNA, 1474 nt
Filed under: human gut metagenome
Description: bacterial LSU rRNA
Rfam family: Bacterial large subunit ribosomal RNA
Source: RNAcentral
AUAGUACCGUGAGGGAAAGGUGAAAAGAACCCCGGGAGGGGAGUGAAAUAGAACCUGAAACUAUGUGCUUACAAGCGGUCAGAGCCCGCAAGGGUGAUGGCGUGCCUUUUGGAGAAUGAUCCUGCGAGUUACGUUCAGUGGCAAGGUUAAGUUUAACGGAGCCGAAGGGAAACCGAGUCUGAACAGGGCGAUUUUAGUCGCUGGGCGUAGACGCGAAACCUGGUGAUCUAAGCCUGUCCAGGGUGAAGCUGUGGUAAGACACAGUGGAGGCCCGAACUCACCGCCGUUGAAAAGUUGGGAGAUGAGGUAGGUUUAGGGGUGAAAAGCCAAUCGAACUAGGAGAUAGCUCGUUCUCUCCGAAAUGCAUUUAGGUGCAGCCUUGAGUGUUUAAUUAUGGGGGUAGAGCACUGAAUGGACUAGGGGGCGCAUUGCUUACUGAAUCCAAUCAAACUCCGAAUACCAUAAUUCAAGAGCUCAGGAGUGAGACUAUGGGAAUUAACUUCCAUUGUCAAAAGGGAAACAACCCAGACCACCAGCUAAGGUCCCUAAUCAUAACUAAGUGGGAAAGGAGGUGGAGAUUCAUAAACAACCAGGAGGUUGGCUUAGAAGCAGCCAUACCUUUAAAGAGUGCGUAAUAGCUCACUGGUCGAGAGUCUCUGCGCCGACAAUGUAACGGGGCUAAGUUAUGAACCGAAGCUGUGGAAUUGCGCAAGCAAUUGGUAGGAGAGCGUUCUGUAGGCCGUUGAAGGAGAAGCGUAAGCAACUCUGGAGGUAUCAGAAGUGAGAAUGCAGGAAUAAGUAGCGAGAAGGGAGGCGAGAAUCCUCCCCGCCGGAAGACCAAGGUUUUCAGGGUAAAGCUUGUCUUCCCUGAGUAAGCCGGGACCUAAGCCGAGGCUAUAGUGCGUAGGCGAAUGGAAAACAGAUUAAUAUUUCUGUGCCAGUCAUAUUUUGUGAUGGAGGGACGCAGAAGGGUAUGUACGCGGAAGAACGGUAGUUUCCGUAAAAGCAUGUAGAAUGACUUGAUAGGUAAAUCCGUCAAGUUAGAUUUGAGGUGUGAUAUAUAGUCGUAAGAUGAAUGUACAAAUCCCACGCUGCCGAGAAAAGCUUCUAACGUUAAGGUAUGACUGCCCGUACCCGAAACCGACACAGGUGGUCAGGAUGAGAAAUCUAAGGCGGACAGGCUAACUCUCGUUAAGGAACUCUGCAAAAUUGCCCCGUAACUUCGGGAGAAGGGGUGCCCCUGAGUGUGAGCAUACACGCGAUGUUAAGCGCUUGGGGGUCGCAGUGAAGAGGCUCAAGCAACUGUUUAACAAAAACACAGGUCUAUGCUAAGCUGUAAGGCGAUGUAUAUGGGCUGACACCUGCCCAGUGCCGGAAGGUUAAGAGGAGGAGUGAGAGCUCCGAAUUGAAGCCCCGGUGAACGGCGGCCGUAACUAUAACGGUCCUAAGGUAGCGAAAUUCCUUGUCGGGUAAG